AGAUUGAACGCUGGCGGCAUGCUUUACACAUGCAAGUCGAACGGUAACAGGCCGCAAGGUGCUGACGAGUGGCGAACGGGUGAGUAAUGCAUCGGAACGUGCCCAGUCGUGGGGGAUAACGCAGCGAAAGCUGUGCUAAUACCGCAUACGAUCUAUGGAUGAAAGCGGGGGACCGAAAGGCCUCGCGCGAUUGGAGCGGCCGAUGUCAGAUUAGCUAGUUGGUGGGGUAAAGGCCCACCAAGGCGACGAUCGUGUAGCUGGUCUGGAGAGGACGACCAGCCACACGUGGAAACUGGACGACACGGUACCAGACUCCGACGGGAGCAGCAGGUGGGGUAAUUUUAGGAC
Molecule: ribosomal RNA, 348 nt
Filed under: uncultured soil bacterium
Lineage: Bacteria
Description: bacterial SSU rRNA
Rfam family: Bacterial small subunit ribosomal RNA
Source: RNAcentral